Dipodomys spectabilis (banner-tailed kangaroo rat) is the source of this 100-nucleotide long non-coding RNA. RefSeq lists it as uncharacterized. The record is from RefSeq and is a predicted model, not a curated record. NCBI's taxonomy places the organism in Eukaryota, Metazoa, Chordata, Mammalia, Rodentia, Heteromyidae. The transcript is spliced from 3 exons.
GAGAUUCGCACAGAUUUGUCUGCUGGUGCUAGCUUUGUACUGUGAUCCUCAGAUCUCAGCCUCCUGAGUAGUUAGGAUUACAGUUUGGACCACCAGCACC